Molecule: ribosomal RNA, 618 nt
Filed under: uncultured bacterium
Lineage: Bacteria
Description: bacterial SSU rRNA
Rfam family: Bacterial small subunit ribosomal RNA
Source: RNAcentral
UGCAGUCGAGGGAGAACCAUUCGAUCCGUAAGGACCGGAUGGGGAAACCGGCGAACGGGUGCGUAACACGUGAGGAACCUGCCCCGAAGACCGGGAUAGCCCGAGGAAACUCGGAUUAAUACCGGAUACCCUCUUUGGACCACAUGGUCUGCUGAGGAAAUGGUCCGCCGCUUCGGGAUGGCCUCGCGGCCUAUCAGCUUGUUGGUGAGGUAACGGCUCACCAAGGCAAAGACGGGUAGCUGGUCUGAGAGGACGAUCAGCCACACUGGGACUGAGACACGGCCCAGACUCCUACGGGAGGCAGCAGCAGGGAAUAUUGCACAAUGGGCGAAAGCCUGAUGCAGCGACACCGCGUGCGGGAUGAAGGCCCUCGGGUUGUAAACCGCUUUCAGGAGGGACGAAAAUGACGGUACCUCCAGAAGAAGGCCCGGCCAACUACGUGCCAGCAGCCGCGGUAAUACGUAGGGGCCAAACGUUGUCCGGAUUUAUUGGGCGUAAAGGGCUCGUAGGCGGUUCAACAAGUCGAUCGUGAAAGCCCGGGGCUCAACCCCGGGACGCCGGUCGAAACUGUUGUGACUAGGGUCCGGUAGAGGUGAGUGGAAUUCUCGGUGUAGCGGU